RNAcentral lists this ribosomal RNA (861 nucleotides) under uncultured archaeon. RNAcentral's name for it is "bacterial SSU rRNA". It matches the Rfam family "Archaeal small subunit ribosomal RNA", at positions 474 to 1337 of the family's 1478-position model. The record is from RNAcentral.
UACCCGCGGCCCGAGUGGUGCUCAUUAUUAUUGAGCCUAAAGCGUCCGUAGCUGGCCGGGCAAAUCUCCGGGUAAAUCGGGCAGCUCAACUGUCCGAAUUCCGGAGACACUGCUCGGCUUGGGAUCGGGAGAGGGUGAAGGUACUCCCUGGGUAGGGGUAAAAUCCUGUAAUCCGGGGGGGACCACCAGUGGCGAAGGCGUUCACCUAGAACGAAUCCGACAGUGAGGGACGAAGCCCUAGGGCGCAAACGGGAUUAGAUACCCCGGUAGUCUAGGGUGUAAACGCUGCAGACUUGGUGUUGGGGGUCCUGCGUGGGCUGCCAGUGCCGGAGCGAAGGUGUUAAGUCUGCCGCUUGGGGAGUACGGUCGCAAGACUGAAACUUAAAGGAAUUGGCGGGAGAGCACCGCAACGGGAGGAGCGUGCGGUUCAAUUGGAUUCAACGCCGGAAAACUCACCGGGGGCGACGGAGGGAUGAAAGCCAGGCUGAAGACCUUGCCCGAUUCUCCGAGAGGUGGUGCAUGGCCGUCGUCAGUUCGUACCGUAAGGCGUUCUGUUAAGUCAGAUAACGAACGAGACCCUCGCCUUCAGUCGCCACUUCACGAGCGAUCGUGAGAGCACACUGGAGGGAUCGCUGCCGCUAAGGCAGAGGAAGGAGAGGUCUACGGUAGGUCCGUAUGCCCCGAAUCUCCCGGGCAACACGCGCGCUACAAAGGUGGGGACAAUGGGAUCCGACCCCGAAAGGGGAAGGCAAUCCUGAAACCCCAUCGUAGUCUGGAUCGAGGGCUGUAACUCGCCCUCGUGAAAAUGGAUUCCGUAGUAAUCGCGGGUCAACAUCCCGCGGUGAAUGUGCCCCUGCUCUU